UUCCCGAAGAAGACCUCAAUUGUCACAUUUGAUAUCAAUAUGCAUAAGUGAUAUGGGCCUGUAUAAAAUACAAUUACUUGUGUUCUUUGUAACUAUGGGGAUGAGUAUUGAACAAAGUGAAACAUGCCGCUAUUAAAUAUUAAACAGCCAUCUAGGCCUGUCUCGUGGUUGAGUGCAGUUAGGUGCUGCAUGUUAUCACAAACAGAGGGAUGGCUAUGCUACGCUGAGGCCUCCAGAGACCACAUGAUGGAGUCAAACAAGGUCAACGCCAGACAUACUUCCUGUUUGGGGCCCGCUAUUUUUGCAACCAGGGCGUUCUCCCCCGGUCGAGCCGAUUUGACAUUAUGAAUCGUUUCUCUCUCAGUCAAUAUAGGGAACAGAAGUAGGCUACUGUAAUACAGAAAAGUUGACUUGCUUUAGCCCAUGUGUUAAACAUAUAGUAUGCUUCUAUCUAUAGUGGAGGACUUUACAACUCUCCUACAGUAGGCUCAAUAGGAAAUUGAACUUUGAGGGGGGAAAAAAACCGUGUGGAGCCUGAUUCUUGUGUUAGCAGAAAAGGUAGUCUGGAGGGUUGGGACAUGAACACGAGGAAGACGGUGAACUUGGACUACUUGGCUAGGUGAAGAAGGAUCCCACCUGGUCCAGCGUUUAGAAGAGAGUACAGAACACUAUGGAGACAGACUGAUCGUCAAUAACCCUGAAGAGUGACCAUUCUCCCCUGACCGUCGCACCCAUCUUCCCAGCCUGGACACCUGCAUGCAGCCUGUCUCUGCUCUGUGGGGAAGUUACCCCAUUAUAGCAUAUCACCUCCAUUUACACCCAUUCACAGACUGUUGCAGGACAAAAUGAGAACGGGUAACAUUUCCUUUGUUAGACCACCUGAUGCUUUAUUUGGGUUAUUGGGGCCUGUUGUGUUUGAGUGAAAGUGUACUUUAGGGUGAGUGUGUUUGUGUUGUCGCCUCUCGCUGUAUCUGUUUGAGUGUGUCUGAAUGACAUUCCCCCUUCAUCCGUCAGUCUUUCAGGUGAAUGUGUCCUGGCGAGAUGAGGUAGUAGGUUGUAUAGUUUGUGGGAGGGAUUUAAUCCUAUUCAGGUGAUAACUAUACAGUCUAUUGCCUUCCUUGAGAGGCACAAUGACAGUCUGCAGCAACGAGGAAGUCCCCAGCUCUCUGAAUUCCUCAAUGCGUUGGAUGCAAUCUCACUAUGAUAAAGCAACAGCUGGAGCACAAAUGGGUUUAUAGCCUCUCCACCGCCACUUGGUGGCCAAGGAGCAGCAGGACUCCAGAGACCUUCUUGUAGGUUCAGGAUUCAGAGCUUCUCAAGAAUGAAAGGAUAUGAAAAGCACUCAACAGAGAAUGCAUCAGUGUUACAAAAUCUAAACAAUAAAGGGUUGGUUCUCCAGAACCAAAUCAAGCCCUAAAUAAAUGCGUAUAGGCUUGUGAUAUGUUUUAUGGUAACAUUAUUCAAUGUUGUAUUAAUUAAUAAAGGUUAAAUAUAGCUAUUAAA
Long non-coding RNA from Oncorhynchus tshawytscha (Chinook salmon), 1503 nucleotides. The record is from Ensembl. Lineage: Eukaryota; Metazoa; Chordata; Actinopteri; Salmoniformes; Salmonidae.